This is a small nuclear RNA of Dromiciops gliroides (monito del monte), 107 nucleotides long. Lineage: Eukaryota; Metazoa; Chordata; Mammalia; Microbiotheria; Microbiotheriidae. The record is from RefSeq and is a predicted model, not a curated record.
GUGCUCGCUUUGGCAGCACAUAUACUAACAUUGGAAAGAUAGAGAGAACAUUAGCAUGGCCCCUGCACAAGUAGGACACACAAAUUUGCAAAGCAUUCCAUAUUUUU